RNAcentral lists this small nuclear RNA (101 nucleotides) under Equus asinus (donkey). The record is from RNAcentral. Lineage: Eukaryota; Metazoa; Chordata; Mammalia; Perissodactyla; Equidae.
UUGCUUCAGCAGCACAUAUACUAAAAUUGGAAUGAUAGAGACAAUUAGCAUGGCCCCUGCACAAGGAUGGGACACAAAUUCACGAAGUGUUACAUAUUUUU